UGGGGAAUCUUCCGCAAUGGACGAAAGUCUGACGGAGCAACGCCGCGUGAGUGAUGACGGCCUUCGGGUUGUAAAGCUCUGUUAAUCGGGACGAAAGGCCUUCUUGCGAAUAGUGAGAAGGAUUGACGGUACCGGAAUAGAAAGCCACGGCUAACUACGUGCCAGCAGCCGCGGUAAUACGUAGGUGGCAAGCGUUGUCUGGAAUUAUUGGGCGUAAAGCGCGCGCAGGCGGAUAGGUCAGUCUGUCUUAAAAGUUCGGGGCUUAACCCCGUGAUGGGAUGGAAACUGCCAAUCUAGAGUAUCGGAGAGGAAAGUGGAAUUCCUAGUGUAGCGGUGAAAUGCGUAGAUAUUAGGAAGAACACCAGUGGCGAAGGCGACUUUCUGGACGAAAACUGACGCUGAGGCGCGAAAGCCAGGGGAGCGAACGGGAUUAGAUACCCCGGUAGUCCUGGCCGUAAACGAUGGGUACUAGGUGUAGGAGGUAUCGACCCCUUCUGUGCCGGAGUUAACGCAAUAAGUACCCCGCCCGGGGAGUACGACCGCAAGGUUG
This 550-nucleotide ribosomal RNA is filed under the name uncultured bacterium. RNAcentral describes it as "bacterial SSU rRNA". It matches the Rfam family "Bacterial small subunit ribosomal RNA", at positions 355 to 896 of the family's 1533-position model. The record is from RNAcentral.